AGACCCGAAACCCGGUGAUCUAGCCAUGGGCAGGUUGAAGGUUGGGUAACACUAACUGGAGGACCGAACCGACUAAUGUUGAAAAAUUAGCGGAUGACCUGUGGCUGGGGGUGAAAGGCCAAUCAAACCGGGAGAUAGCUGGUUCUCCCCGAAAGCUAUUUAGGUAGCGCCUCGUGAAUUCAUCUCCGGGGGUAGAGCACUGUUUCGGCUAGGGGGCCAUCCCGGCUUACCAACCCGAUGCAAACUGCGAAUACCGGAGAAUGUUAUCACGGGAGACACACGGCGGGUGCUAACGUCCGUCGUGAAGAGGGAAACAACCCAGACCGCCAGCUAAGGUCCCAAAGUCAUGGUUAAGUGGGAAACGAUGUGGGAAGGCCCAGACAGCCAGGAUGUUGGCUUAGAAGCAGCCAUCAUUUAAAGAAAGCGUAAUAGCUCACUGGUCGAGUCGGCCUGCGCGGAAGAUGUAACGGGGCUAAACCAUGCACCGAAGCUGCGGCAGCGAACGUAUCACUUAAAGCGAUUCAGCGGGUUACGAUUGACGGAGCGAAGCGACGUCAAAGCGUAUACAAAGUCGAGUCGGUUUAAGGAUACGUUCGUUGGGUAGGGGAGCGUUCUGUAAGCCGU
RNAcentral lists this ribosomal RNA (624 nucleotides) under Salmonella enterica subsp. enterica serovar Wangata. RNAcentral's name for it is "partial 23S ribosomal RNA". It matches the Rfam family "Bacterial large subunit ribosomal RNA", at positions 711 to 1251 of the family's 2925-position model. The record is from RNAcentral. Lineage: Bacteria; Pseudomonadati; Pseudomonadota; Gammaproteobacteria; Enterobacterales; Enterobacteriaceae.